GAUGAACGCUGGCGGCGUGCCUAAUACAUGCAAGUCGAGCGAACGGACGAGAAGCUUGCUUUUCUGAUGUUAGCGGCGGACGGGUGAGUAACACGUGGAUAACCUACCUAUAAGACUGGGAUAACUUCGGGAAACCGGAGCUAAUACCGGAUAAUAUUUUGAACCGCAUGGUUCAUAAGUGAAAGACGGUCUUGCUGUCACUUAUAGAUGGAUCCGCGCUGCAUUAGCUAGUUGGUAAGGUAACGGCUUACCAAGGCAACGAUGCAUAGCCGACCUGAGAGGGUGAUCGGCCACACUGGAACUGAGACACGGUCCAGACUCCUACGGGGGGCAGCAGUAGGGAAUCUUCCGCAAUGGGCGAAAGCCUGACGGAGCAACGCCGCGUGAGUGAUGAAGGUCUUCGGAUCGUAAAACUCUGUUAUUAGGGAAGAACAUAUGUGUAAGUAACUGUGCACAUCUUGACGGUACCUAAUCAGAAAGCCACGGCUAACUACGUG
This 497-nucleotide ribosomal RNA is filed under the name uncultured bacterium. RNAcentral's name for it is "partial 16S ribosomal RNA". It matches the Rfam family "Bacterial small subunit ribosomal RNA", at positions 28 to 507 of the family's 1533-position model. The record is from RNAcentral.